CAUGCAGGCGGUCGUACGCGUUUUGUGUGACAGCGGGUGGCUUAACUACUCGAGUAUGCGAAAGACGGUACGACUUGAGGGCUCGAGAGGGACACGGAAUUCCGGGUGGAGUGGUGAAAUGCGUAGAGAUCCGGAGGAACACCGAAGGCGAAGGCAGUGUCCUGGCGAGUGACUGACGCUGAGGUGCGAAAGCCAGGGGAGCGAACGGGAUUAGAUACCCCGGUAGUCCUGGCCGUAAACGAUGACCACCAGGUGUGGGAGGUAUCGACCCCUUCCGUGCCGGAGUAAACACACUAAGUGGUCCGCCUGGGGAGUACGGUCGCAAGAUUAAA
Molecule: ribosomal RNA, 332 nt
Filed under: uncultured bacterium
Lineage: Bacteria
Description: bacterial SSU rRNA
Rfam family: Bacterial small subunit ribosomal RNA
Source: RNAcentral